Long non-coding RNA from Astyanax mexicanus (Mexican tetra), 1204 nucleotides. RefSeq lists it as uncharacterized. NCBI's taxonomy places the organism in Eukaryota, Metazoa, Chordata, Actinopteri, Characiformes, Acestrorhamphidae. The record is from RefSeq and is a predicted model, not a curated record. The transcript is spliced from 3 exons.
GAUUACUCCUGUCAGUAAGAAUACUUACUCCCGCUGUUAUGCUGCUCCUCACACACACACGCACGCACGCACACAAACACACGCAUGCACACACACACAGCCUGUUAUAGUACACACACACACACACACACAGAGCCUGUUAUAGUACACACACACAAACACACACACAGAGCCUGUUAUAGUACUGCUACACGCACACACACACACACACACACACACACACACAGCCUGUUAUAGUACACACACACACACACACACAGAGCCUGUUAUAGUACACACACACACACACACACAGAGCCUGUUAUAGUACACACACACACACACACAGAGCCUGUUAUAGUACUGCUACACGCACACACACGCACACACACGCACACACACGCACACACACGCACACACACGCACACACACGAUCAGCAUCCCUAGACCCCAAAACCAACCGUCGCGCACACCCCAAACGUGUGAUCACGUUUAGAGUGUAAAUGAAUCUAGAUGAUAUUUACCUUGGUGCCCCUGCGCAUCAGCCCAGUUCAACCCGUGCGGUUUCUCGUAGCACUUGGCGCGCGGAUUCCUCAAACAUUACAACUUUCCUCAACUGUCAGCUAUCCUGAAACCUUUGAAGUUUGUAGAGCUCUGAAAGAGUACAUUUUAAGUGGAACAUUUACUCCACCAUGCAACAAAAAAAUGCGCAAGGAAAUGCGGCGUGUGUCUGAAAACUUCCUAGCAAAAGACAACCGAUUGUUUUACACUGGACCAAAUAAAACGUAUAUGAGACUACCGUAGUUGUUUGUACUGAGGAGGAAAAAAGGUCUGUUUUGAUGGAGUGCCAUAACUCCGGCACCGGCAACCACAACGGUGUACGAGGCACGAGAGACAGGGUGAUUGCUGGAUACUUCUGGCCUACCCUAAUGAAAGAUGUAACUGAGUGGGUAUGUUGUGAAGUUAUAACACAAUUUCUUAUUUAUUUCCAGAGCGUAAAACUGCAACACAGUACAUAUAAAUGUUUUAUUUAGUAUAAAUAUUACAGUAUUAUUCAUACAAGGCUGAAGUUGGUUUGAUAUUCGCAGCUCCUGAUUCGUUUGGUUGUAUGUACACUACCUUCCAUCACUUACUUUCUCCAGUUUUACUUUAACGUGCUGUUCUAGUGUAAUUCAUUCAUUUACUAAGUAGAAAAUAUCUAAACUAGAGAAUUAGCCUCAUACUU